This 517-nucleotide ribosomal RNA is filed under the name uncultured Basidiomycota. Its description in RNAcentral is "SSU rRNA". It matches the Rfam family "Eukaryotic small subunit ribosomal RNA", at positions 21 to 549 of the family's 1831-position model. Lineage: Eukaryota; Fungi; Basidiomycota. The record is from RNAcentral.
UUGUAGUCAUAUGCUUGUCUCAAAGAUUAAGCCAUGCAUGUCUAAGUAUAAACAAGUUUGUACUGUGAAACUGCGAAUGGCUCAUUAAAUCAGUUAUAGUUUAUUUGAUGGUUUUUGCUACAUGGAUAACUGUGGUAAUUCUAGGGCUGAUACAUGCACUCAAGCCCCGACUUCUGGAAGGGGUGUAUUUAUUAGAUAAAAAUCAACUUUGUUGGUGAAUCAUAAUAACUUCUCGGACCGCAUGGCCUCGUGCUGGCGGUGCUUCAUUCAAAUAUCUGCCCUAUCAACUGUCGAUGGUAGGAUAGAGGCCUACCAUGGUUGCAACGGGUAACGGGGAAUAAGGGUUCGAUUCCGGAGAGGGAGCCUGAGAAACGGCUACCACAUCCAAGGAAGGCAGCAGGCGCGCAAAUUACCCAAUCCCAACACGGGGAGGUAGUGACAAUAUGUAACAAUAUACGGCCUUAUGCGUCGUAUAAUUGGAAUGAGUACAAUUUAAAUCCCUUAACGAGGAACAAUU